RNAcentral lists this ribosomal RNA (301 nucleotides) under uncultured bacterium. RNAcentral describes it as "partial 16S ribosomal RNA". It matches the Rfam family "Bacterial small subunit ribosomal RNA", at positions 509 to 807 of the family's 1533-position model. The record is from RNAcentral.
CAGUAGCCACGGUAAUACAGAGGGUGCGAGCGUUAAUCGGAUUUACUGGGCGUAAAGCGUGCGUAGGCGGCUUCUUAAGUCGGAUGUGAAAUCCCUGAGCUUAACUUAGGAAUUGCAUUCGAUACUGGGAAGCUAGAGUAUGGGAGAGGAUGGUAGAAUUCCAGGUGUAGCGGUGAAAUGCGUAGAGAUCUGGAGAAAUACCGAUGGCGAAGGCAGCCAUCUGGCCUAAUACUGACGCUGAGGUACGAAAGCAUGGGGAGCAAACAGGAUUAGAUACCCGAGUAGUCCCUGUCUCUUAUAC